This 460-nucleotide ribosomal RNA is filed under the name uncultured bacterium. Its description in RNAcentral is "partial 16S ribosomal RNA". It matches the Rfam family "Bacterial small subunit ribosomal RNA", at positions 338 to 795 of the family's 1533-position model. The record is from RNAcentral.
CCUACGGGUGGCAGCAGUGAGGAAUAUUGGUCAAUGGGCGCAAGCCUGAACCAGCCAAGUAGCGUGAAGGAUGACUGCCCUACGGGUUGUAAACUUCUUUUAUAUGGGAAUAAAGUGCAGCAUGUAUACUGCUUUGCAUGUACCUUAUGAAUAAGGAUCGGCUAACUCCGUGCCAGCAGCCGCGGUAAUACGGAGGAUCCGAGCGUUAUCCGGAUUUAUUGGGUUUAAAGGGAGCGUAGACGGGUUGUUAAGUCAGUUGUGAAAGUUUGCGGCUCAACCGUAAAAUUGCAAUUGAUACUGGCAGUCUUGAGUACAGUAGAGGUAGGCGGAAUUCGUGGUGUAGCGGUGAAAUGCUUAGAUAUCACGAAGAACUCCGAUUGCGAAGGCAGCCUACUGGACUGCAACUGACGCUGAUGCUCGAAAGUGUGGGUAUCAAACAGGAUUAGAUACCCUUGUAGUC